GGCCUACCAUGCAAGUCGGACGGUAGCACAGAGAGCUUGCUCUUGGGUGACGAGUGGCGGACGGGUGAGUAAUGUCUGGGGAUCUGCCCGAUAGAGGGGGAUAACCACUGGAAACGGUGGCUAAUACCGCAUAACGUCGCAAGACCAAAGAGGGGGACCUUCGGGCCUCUCACUAUCGGAUGAACCCAGAUGGGAUUAGCUAGUAGGCGGGGUAAUGGCCCACCUAGGCGACGAUCCCUAGCUGGUCUGAGAGGAUGACCAGCCACACUGGAACUGAGACACGGUCCAGACUCCUACGGGAGGCAGCAGUGGGGAAUAUUGCACAAUGGGCGCAAGCCUGAUGCAGCCAUGCCGCGUGUAUGAAGAAGGCCUUCGGGUUGUAAAGUACUUUCAGCGGGGAGGAAGGCGAUGUGGUUAAUAACCCCGAUUGACGUUACCCGCAGAAGAAGCACCGGCUAACUCCGUGCCAGCAGCCGCGGUAAUACGGAGGGUGCAAGCGUUAAUCGGAAUUACUGGGCGUAAAGCGCACGCAGCGGUCUGUUAAGUCAGAURUGAAAUCCCSGGCUUAACCUGGGAACUGCAUUUGAAACUGGCAGCUUGAGUCUUGUAGAGGGGGGGGGGUAGAAUUCCACGUGUAGCGGUGAAAUGCGUAGAGAUCUGGAGGAUACCGGUGGCGAAGGGCCCCCUGGACAAAGACUGACGCUCAGUGCGAACUGGGGGAGCAAACAGGAUAGAACCUGUAGUCACGCG
Molecule: ribosomal RNA, 750 nt
Filed under: Pantoea agglomerans
Lineage: Bacteria; Pseudomonadati; Pseudomonadota; Gammaproteobacteria; Enterobacterales; Erwiniaceae
Description: bacterial SSU rRNA
Rfam family: Bacterial small subunit ribosomal RNA
Source: RNAcentral